ACCCCGUUAUAACGGAAUUUGAAAUUCUGAUGUGGCUAAUCAGGCCGCGGUGUAC
Molecule: transfer RNA, 55 nt
Filed under: Aristena rechingeri
Lineage: Eukaryota; Metazoa; Mollusca; Gastropoda; Stylommatophora; Helicidae
Description: tRNA-Ser
Source: RNAcentral